GGAUUCAAUGUGAUGAUUCAAACAGUUUUAUGCAUAGUUCAACUGAUUCUUUUAAUGAGGACACAACUAGCCAUCUAGUCUUUCGCUCCUAUCUGAUUGAAUCC
Molecule: small nucleolar RNA, 104 nt
Rfam family: Small nucleolar RNA snR60/Z15/Z230/Z193/J17
About the family: The members of this family belong to the C/D class of snoRNAs which contain the C (UGAUGA) and D (CUGA) box motifs. Most of the members of the box C/D family function in directing site-specific 2'-O-methylation of substrate RNAs.
Source: Rfam